RNAcentral lists this ribosomal RNA (253 nucleotides) under uncultured bacterium. Its description in RNAcentral is "partial 16S ribosomal RNA". It matches the Rfam family "Bacterial small subunit ribosomal RNA", at positions 524 to 776 of the family's 1533-position model. The record is from RNAcentral.
UACGUAGGGGGCUAGCGUUGUCCGGAUUUAUUGGGCGUAAAGAGCGUGUAGGCGGCCAUGUAGGUCCGGUGUGAAAACUCGAGGCUUAACCUCGAGAUGUCAUCGGAAACCAUUUGGCUAGAGUCCGGAAGGGGAGACUGGAAUUCCUGGUGUAGCGGUGGAAUGCGCAGAUAUCAGGAGGAACACCGGUGGCGAAGGCGGGUCUCUGGGCAGUAACUGACGCUGAGGAGCGAAAGCGUGGGGAGCGAACAGG